AGUCUUCUUGCCAAUGUUUUAGUCUUAUUUCUUCAUUUUGUGUUGCUCCUACAUAAUAUUUUAAUUUUCCACAUGGUUUUGCUUUAUUUACAAUGUUUUUUCUCUCUCUCUUCUGCAUUCCUGUUUCUCAGUUGCUCCAUGAAUAAAACUAAUAAUCUCAAUCACCACAUAAAGUUAUAAAAUUAUCUCUUACAAUACUUGCCUUCACUGUAGGAAGCACGGGUGUGCUACGAAUGCGGGUAUGGCUACGUAAUGGGUAUGCCAAAAAUAGUUUUUCAUAAUUUAUAAUAAUUAGAAAAUCAAAUGCAAAAAAUAUUGUAAGUGACAAUUAGAAAAAGAGAGAAUAAUAGACAGAGAGGCUACAGAAAUAGAGAUGAAGGGGGGUACUCCAAGACAGAGAGGGUUGUUGAAAAAAAAUAGAGAAGAAUAUGAAGAGACAGAGAGUCAGAAAAACUUGGAAGCCAAAAAAAGAACCCUAGUAUUUUUGAAAUUUUUGAUAACUGAAAAAAUACACUGCAUUUAAAAAAAAAAUUUAAAAAUAGGCACAGUGCAAUUCCCUAUAUUUUUUUUAAAUUUACAUUUAUGUCCUAAUCUACCUACAAAAGUACCCAAAACUUACCCAUCAUGUAUUCAAAACAUACUCAUCCCAUACCCGAGUUGUACCCAUCCUGUGCUCGAGCCAUGGCCAACAUUAAAAAGUACUAGAUACAUAUUUCACAUAUCUGGUAUGCAUGCAGCCGUAACGGUAUGCAUGCCUUGUUGGGUAAGUACCCAAUACCCAUUCAACAAAAUUUUUGGUGUAUCCAUGCUUGAUGGCCUUCAUGCUAGCUAACGCUAGGAUGUCGUGCAUUGCCUUCUUGGUUAAAAUACAUUGAAAGUUGCUGCUAGAAACUUCUUUGGUCUAUACUUCUGCUAUUUGACUUCGCAUUAUGUACAAAUAAUAUAUUAGCUUGAUUUCUCUUUUAUGAAGUGUCCAUCUGCUUUAAUAUAUGCUUUCUUCUAUCAUGCUCGACUUGUUCAUUUGCAACAUUGAUUUGUGGCUUUAUUGCAAUAAAAGAGUCCUUGGCUUCUUAGUAUCCAAUCAUAUAUGUCAACAAAAUCUGCAACCAAAGAAAUGUUUGCAUCAAUAUAACAUUCCAUAGAAGCCAUUUUUAGGGGCAGACAUUGGGGGUGGUAAUAUCAUGGAAAAUGCUUUAAGAUGAAAAACUCUGGAGACAUACCAUUGAGUUAUGUUUAGGUAUAUAAACUGUUAAGAGUAGAGUUUGUCUCUGUUAUAUUUCUCUGUUUUAUUGGUAAGGGUAUUAUGGUCAUCUUGUAGUUCUCACUCUAAUAUAAAUAUGGGAAAUUUUAUUUCCACACUAUCAAUACUCUUAGUACACACCAUCUUCUAAGUUUACACAAUACCAAAUUUCAAAUUUUUUAUUUUUCUCAAAUCACACCACCUAUGUUCAAAUAAUCCCAAAAUACCCUCUUCCUCUCAAAAUGCGUAACCCUAACCCAACGUAGUCACCACUACCGCCAUCUACUGCCGGUUGUCCAUCUCCAGCCCAUCGUCCACUCAUCUUUCAUCUUUAUCCGCCUUCAUCCACCCUCAAAAACCACUCCCAUUGCUCUUCUCACCCACCCUGCCACCUCCAAUGCCAUCAUCUCCGUUGCCAACAACUUCGACCACGAUGAUAGAUAGUCGAUAGAGAUCGCCAUGGUGGUAGAGAGAGAGAGAGAGAGACUAUGUGUGUGGCGGGGACUAGUGGUGCUGAUGAGGAUGGGUUGGGUAUGGGCUCGCUGGAGAUGACGGCGGUAGCAGCGACGGCGGUAGUGGUAGAGCAAGGAAGGAUGAAAGAAGAGGUGGGGCGAUGACGGGGCUGGACAAGGUGGUGGCGGUGGCUAGUUGUUGAUGGUGGUGCCUAGAGGGGUGUGAUGGUGUGUAUUGAGGGAUUUGAUUUUAGGGAUUUUGUUCAAAAUGGUAAUUUCAUUCAAGGACACAAUGGUAAUUAAAAAAAAUUGGACAACGGUGUGUACUGAGAAUAAUGAUGGUGUGUAAAUAUAAUUACCCUAUAAAUAUAUGUUACAUGAAGGGGGCUAGGUUAUGCAACCCUAGUCUCUAUUCUUUUGUCUAUUCUCUUUUCUUCUCUCUUUCUCAUUCUAACCCUAAUUUUCACAUAAUCUGUUAUUUUUCCAACCCUAAUCACAAUUCAUCCUUACUUGGGGAAAUUUCAAACGCACGUGAAGUCACAAAGUGCCAACAAGAGUUCUAGCCUGAUCUCAUUAUAGCAUAUCAUAAUAAUGAGUUUGGUGAUAAAUAAAGAUCUUAGUAGUGUAGAAAAUUAGCUUAAGAACCAAGUAAACAAAAUCAGAUCAUGAUGGAACUUUGCGAAGUGAUACAUCAAUCGAGGACAAAAUUUGCACAGUGAAAGAGGGUCAUCUUCCGUUUUCUUCUAAAGAUUACCAUCUUGUACCCUUCAAAGCCCAAACUCAAUGAAAUUCUCUAUGCAAGCUUGGAUUGGUUGGAAAAAGACAUUUGUUUUGCUUUUUCUUUGUGCCAAAAGCUAGCUUUUUUUCUUGGUACAGCCAAAGCUAGCUCAUUUUGAAUAAUUAGUUUCUUAUUUGGUCUUGGCAUGGUUGGCUUUUUAACUUCAGUUUGCUCUUUGAAACCAUGCAUUUUCUCAGUCUAUCUUCAAUGUUAGUAAAUCAUUUGAAGCCAACUACUUCUCUUCACUUGGAAAAUAUGGAAAAAUGGAGUGAUGUUUUAGACUGCCUGCAUGUUAGGUUUGACGGAGAGCAUUUUUGGGCUCUAGUUUGGAGUUGUAUUUAAAAUUCCUGACAGAAGUUAUAAUCUUUGCUCAGCCUAAUCUGGGACAUGUAAGUUAAAUCACAAGACAUAAUGUUUGUUCUCACCUCCUUGAUCCGUUUGAAAUUUAAUCACAUCUCACUUCCUUAUUGUUAUGGUCGUUGUUCUUCAUUCUAUAUAAUUUUCUCAAGCCAUCUUGGAUGACUUAGCAUCGUUCUCUUGUGUUGCCAUCUAUCCCUCUUUAACAUCUUUGGCAACUUAAAUUCUGCGACUUGUGCAUUCUUGAUUAUUUUCAUAGUUGAUAUCAUACACCUUCUGUAGCUUAUAAUAACUCGUUAUGGAAACUACCUAUAAUGUGAUUAAAUAUGUAGCUAUUUUUGUCAUGAUACUAUUUUCUAACUAGUUUCUCACUGAAUCAUAUGGUGCUGAUUUGUCAUCAGAAUAUGAGUUCACCAAAGUUCCCUUAUAUUAAGAUGCUCUAUCACUGAAAGUUCCGAUGUGUAAAUUUUUGUGGACUGAUCUGAAAGCGUGAUUCA
Non-coding RNA from Camellia sinensis, 3324 nucleotides. NCBI's taxonomy places the organism in Eukaryota, Viridiplantae, Streptophyta, Magnoliopsida, Ericales, Theaceae. The record is from RefSeq and is a predicted model, not a curated record.